GAUGAACGCUGGCGGCGUGCUUAACACAUGCAAGUCGAGCGAAGCGCUUUGGUUAGAUUCUUCGGAUGAAGACCUUUGUGACUGAGCGGCGGACGGGUGAGUAACGCGUGGGUAACCUGCCUCAUACAGGGGGAUAACAGUUAGAAAUGACUGCUAAUACCGCGUAAGCCCACAGUGCCGCAUGGCACAGCGGGAAAAGGAUUUAUUCGCUUCAGGAUGGACUCGCGUCCAAUUAGCUAGUUGGUGAGGUAACGGCCCACCAAGGCGACGAUUGGUAGCCGGACUGAGAGGUUGAACGGGCCACAUUGGGACUGAGACACGGCCCAGACUCCUACGGGAGGCAGCAGUGGGGGAUAUUGCACAAUGGGCGAAAGCCUGAUGCAGCGACGCCGCGUGAGCGAAGAAGUAUUUCGGGUAUGUAAAGCUCUAUCAGCAGGGAAGAAAAUGACGGUACCUGACUAAAGAAAGCCCCGGGCUAAACUACGU
This 486-nucleotide ribosomal RNA is filed under the name uncultured bacterium. RNAcentral's name for it is "bacterial SSU rRNA". It matches the Rfam family "Bacterial small subunit ribosomal RNA", at positions 28 to 506 of the family's 1533-position model. The record is from RNAcentral.